UACGUAGGGUGCGAGCGUUGUCCGGAAUUACUGGGCGUAAAGAGCUCGUAGGUGGUUUGUCGCGUUGUUCGUGAAAUCUCACGGCUUAACUGUGAGCGUGCGGGCGAUACGGGCAGACUAGAGUACUGCAGGGGAGACUGGAAUUCCUGGUGUAGCGGUGGAAUGCGCAGAUAUCAGGAGGAACACCAGUGGCGAAGGCGACUUUCUGGUCUGUAACUGACGCUGAGGCGCGAAAGCGUGGGGAGCAAACAGG
Molecule: ribosomal RNA, 253 nt
Filed under: uncultured bacterium
Lineage: Bacteria
Description: partial 16S ribosomal RNA
Rfam family: Bacterial small subunit ribosomal RNA
Source: RNAcentral